This 253-nucleotide ribosomal RNA is filed under the name uncultured bacterium. Its description in RNAcentral is "partial 16S ribosomal RNA". It matches the Rfam family "Bacterial small subunit ribosomal RNA", at positions 524 to 776 of the family's 1533-position model. The record is from RNAcentral.
UACGGAGGGUGCGAGCGUUACCCGGAUUUACUGGGUGUAAAGGGCGUGUAGGCGGUCUUGCAAGUCCGGUGCUAAAGACCGGGGCUCAACCCCGGGGGUGCGCUGGAUACUGUAAGGCUAGACGGUCGGAGGGGGUAGUGGAAUUUCCGGAGUAGCGGUGAAAUGCGCAGAUACCGGAAGGAACGCCGAUAGCGAAGGCAGCUACCUGGACGACAUGUGACGCUGAGGCGCGAAAGCGUGGGGAGCAAACCGG